Molecule: ribosomal RNA, 670 nt
Filed under: Leucocoprinus cepistipes
Lineage: Eukaryota; Fungi; Basidiomycota; Agaricomycetes; Agaricales; Agaricaceae
Description: eukaryotic LSU rRNA
Rfam family: Eukaryotic large subunit ribosomal RNA
Source: RNAcentral
UAGCAUAUCAAUAAGCGGAGGAAAAGAAACUAACAAGGAUUCCCCUAGUAACUGCGAGUGAAGCGGGAAGAGCUCAAAUUUAAAAUCUGGCGGUCUCUGGCCGUCCGAGUUGUAAUCUAGAGAAGUGCUGCCCGCGCUGGACCGUGUACAAGUCUCCUGGGAUGGAGCGUCAUAGAGGGUGAGAAUCCCGUCUUUGACACGGACUACCAGGGCUUUGUGGUACGCUCUCAAAGAGUCGAGUUGUUUGGGAAUGCAGCUCAAAAUGGGUGGUAAAUUCCAUCUAAAGCUAAAUAUUGGCGAGAGACCGAUAGCGAACAAGUACCGUGAGGGAAAGAUGAAAAGAACUUUGGAAAGAGAGUUAAACAGUACGUGAAAUUGCUGAAAGGGAAACGCUUGAAGUCAGUCGCGUUGGCCGGGGAUCAGCCUCGCUUUUCGCGUGGUGUACUUUCCGGUUGACGGGUCAGCAUCAAUUUUGACCGCUGGAAAAAGGCUUGAGGAAUGUGGCAGCUCCGGCUGUGUUAUAGCUUCUAGUCACAUACAGCGGUUGGGAUUGAGGAACUCAGCACGCCGCAAGGCCGGGUUUCGACCACGUUCGUGCUUAGGAUGCUGGCAUAAUGGCUUUAAGCGACCCGUCUUGAAACACGGACCAAGGAGUCUAACAUGCCUCAGU